UGACGCACACCAACGUUUACGUGCAGGCAAAUUGAUUGGGUAGGAGAGCCAUAUAUUAUUAUAGGUGGUGCUAUUUAGCCUAACGAAUAUAACAGCGCUUUUAUAAUAUUCCUAGCGCUAACUAAAUUCCUGUCGUUAUAUAAUACCAAGAUUUUACUAAUUAUUUAAUGCAAUA
This 175-nucleotide ribosomal RNA is filed under the name Pyricularia oryzae 70-15. The record is from RNAcentral. Lineage: Eukaryota; Fungi; Ascomycota; Sordariomycetes; Magnaporthales; Pyriculariaceae.